UGCAUAUACCAUCGAUAUGACCUGAUCGGGUCAGAUGAGCUUUUGCUUGCAACGCGACAACAUCGUAAAUACGACGUCUAGAUCCUACUGCGUUCAUCUAUCUCCGAAUCGAAAAACAACCUUGCAAUGGACAGCGCAACAGGCGAUGUAAUGAGGUGUUGUGGUGAUGGCAGCGCUUGUUGUAAAAGUAAGGGAUGCACCGAAAAAACAGGCUGCCAAUGCGGUGACGUGUGCGGUUGUUGCUGCUGCAAUAGGAAGCGCGGUGUCUGCAAUUGUGGCGACGUGACUCCGUGUUGCAAGGAGAAGGGGUGCGGAGGGCCGGGUGGUUGUUCAUGCGGCGGGGGGUGCGAGUGCUGCUGCUGUGCACAACCAGCAACAGCUGGUACUUGUGGCCACAAAUAGGUGGCGCAGCUUAGAUGAGACGAAGUGUUGGCAGAAUUAACGACUACAGACCCAAUUGAGCAAGUUCCUUAGACUUCAGCAUCCAUUCUAUGAAGGACCAAUGCGAUUUGGAUCAACUUUGUCAUACGGGUAUGGACAUCACAUCUACUUGGACUGUACUUUUCCUUCAAUCAUAAAACAGCCACUUCAUUAAAUUGGCAGGGACUAAUAAGGGCAAUUCAGCUCAUAUGGACAUCAGUGUUGUUUAUCUGUAAUUUUGUCGUCAAACAUACAAUAGUUUCUUUGUUAAAUUGACUGGGAGACAUUUGUAAUACCCCAGCAAGCCCGAUGAGGGCAAUUCAGUCAGACCAAACUGAUGACUAAAGCUCCAUCAGUGAGGUUUUAUCCGGCUCUCUGAAUAUGAGAAGGACAUGUACCACUUGCGAGUAUUGAUCAAAUCGAUGCAAUAACUGUAGCCUGGUAAUAAAAUUAUCAAAACAU
Long non-coding RNA from Lineus longissimus, 882 nucleotides. RefSeq lists it as uncharacterized. The transcript has 2 exons. The record is from RefSeq and is a predicted model, not a curated record. NCBI's taxonomy places the organism in Eukaryota, Metazoa, Nemertea, Pilidiophora, Heteronemertea, Lineidae.